Molecule: ribosomal RNA, 253 nt
Filed under: uncultured bacterium
Lineage: Bacteria
Description: partial 16S ribosomal RNA
Rfam family: Bacterial small subunit ribosomal RNA
Source: RNAcentral
UACGUAGGGUGCGAGCGUUGUCCGGAAUUACUGGGCGUAAAGAGCUCGUAGGCGGUCUGUUGCGUCUGCUGUGAAAACUCGGGGCUUAACCCCGAGCCUGCAGUGGAUACGGGCAGACUAGAGGUAGGUAGGGGAGAAUGGAAUUCCCGGUGUAGCGGUGAAAUGCGCAGAUAUCGGGAGGAACACCGGUGGCGAAGGCGGUUCUCUGGGCCUUACCUGACGCUGAGGAGCGAAAGCGUGGGGAGCGAACAGG